GACGAACGCUGGCGGCGUGCCUAAUACAUGCAAGUCGAACGCUUUUUCUUUCACCGGAGCUUGCUCCACCGAAAGAAAAGGAGUGGCGAACGGGUGAGUAACACGUGGGUAACCUGCCCAUCAGAAGGGGAUAACACUUGGAAACAGGUGCUAAUACCGUAUAACAAUCGAAACCGCAUGGUUUCGGUUUGAAAGGCGCUUUUGCGUCACUGAUGGAUGGACCCGCGGUGCAUUAGCUAGUUGGUGAGGUAACGGCUCACCAAGGCAACGAUGCAUAGCCGACCUGAGAGGGUGAUCGGCCACAUUGGGACUGAGACACGGCCCAAACUCCUACGGGAGGCAGCAGUAGGGAAUCUUCGGCAAUGGACGCAAGUCUGACCGAGCAACGCCGCGUGAGUGAAGAAGGUUUUCGGAUCGUAAAACUCUGUUGUUAGAGAAGAACAAGGAUGAGAGUAGAAUGUUCAUCCCUUGACGGUAUCUAACCAGAAAGCCACGGCUAACUACGUGCCAGCAGCCGCGGUAAUACGUAGGUGGCAAGCGUUGUCCGGAUUUAUUGGGCGUAAAGCGAGCGCAGGCGGUUUCUUAAGUCUGAUGUGAAAGCCCCCGGCUCAACCGGGGAGGGUCAUUGGAAACUGGGAAACUUGAGUGCAGAAGAGGAGAGUGGAAUUCCAUGUGUAGCGGUGAAAUGCGUAGAUAUAUGGAGGAACACCAGUGGCGAAGGCGGCUCUCUGGUCUGUAACUGACGCUGAGGCUCGAA
This 757-nucleotide ribosomal RNA is filed under the name uncultured Bacilli bacterium. RNAcentral's name for it is "bacterial SSU rRNA". It matches the Rfam family "Bacterial small subunit ribosomal RNA", at positions 28 to 757 of the family's 1533-position model. Lineage: Bacteria; Bacillati; Bacillota; Bacilli. The record is from RNAcentral.